GCGGGAGUAACUCAAUGGUAGAGUCCCUGCCUUCCAAGCAGGUGGUUGCGGGUUCGAGUCCCGUCUCCCGCU
Candidatus Riflebacteria bacterium GWC2_50_8 is the source of this 72-nucleotide non-coding RNA. The record is from Rfam. NCBI's taxonomy places the organism in Bacteria, Candidatus Rifleibacteriota.